UCCCCUUUACCAUGGUCUUUGUUAGAUGCUCCACCACCACUCAGGAAAUCAGCUCUCAUUUUCCAGUAUUGCUUUGAAGCAUUGCACAUUUUCCAUUUCCCGUGUAUUAGUAGUAAAAGAAUGGAUGAUGAGUGUAAAACGUAGGUAAAAUGUCUAGCUUCCAAAGGGUCUUUGGGUGCCACAGACAGUGUUCCUUAAGGUCUUGGUUCUUGAGUGUAGAGCUAGCAAUUCAAGUGUGGAGAAUCUUACGCGCUACAAAGUAACGCUCUGUGGAAAGGCCUGGAAUGGGUACAAGGUGCAAGGAAUUUUUUGGUCAACAUAAGGGCAAAUAAUCCAAACUGAAAUGUGCCUGGGAGGUAAAGAGUCCAAGGUGUGAGAUUCUACAAGGCACAAAGCAAUGUAAUAGUCAGGUCUGGUCUGAAGGUCAGGGCAGGCAAUGUGAAUCGUAGUCAUAGGGGCAGAAUUCAAUCAAAAACAGCAGGAAGAAAGAUACUGAAUACUGGAAUUCAGGCAACAUAAUAACCACCUUGAGCUUGACUCAUUGCAGGACCCAUAACACAUGUAAAGCAUGAGGACCAUGAAUUGUGACUGAUACAUGCACUCUAACGCACAGCCGUGACCCUGGAGCUCACAAUGGUGACACUAGGAAACAUUGAAACCAACCCGCAAAUCCAUACAUAGAAAAACAUGGGUUUUUGAAUGACACACUUG
This is a non-coding RNA of Pelobates cultripes (western spadefoot toad), 711 nucleotides long. The record is from the annotation of a GenBank genome assembly. NCBI's taxonomy places the organism in Eukaryota, Metazoa, Chordata, Amphibia, Anura, Pelobatidae.